RNAcentral lists this ribosomal RNA (541 nucleotides) under uncultured marine bacterium. RNAcentral's name for it is "bacterial SSU rRNA". It matches the Rfam family "Bacterial small subunit ribosomal RNA", at positions 338 to 873 of the family's 1533-position model. The record is from RNAcentral.
CCUACGGGAGGCAGCAGUGGGGAAUAUUGCACAAUGGGCGAAAGCCUGAUGCAGCAACGCCGCGUGAGGGACGACGGCCUUCGGGUUGUAAACCUCUUUUAGCAGGAAAGAAGCGAAAGUGACGGUACCUGCAGAAAAAGCGCCGGCUAACUACGUGCCAGCAGCCGCGGUAAUACGUAGGGCGCAAGCGUUAUCCGGAAUUAUUGGGCGUAAAGAGCUCGUAGGCGGUCUGUCGCGUCUGCUGUGAAAACCCGAGGCUCAACCUCGGGCCUGCAGUGGGUACGGGCAGACUAGAGUGCGGUAGGGGAGAUUGGAAUUCCUGGUGUAGCGGUGGAAUGCGCAGAUAUCAGGAGGAACACCGAUGGCGAAGGCAGAUCUCUGGGCCGUAACUGACGCUGAGGAGCGAAAGGGUGGGGAGCAAACAGGCUUAGAUACCCUGGUAGUCCACCCCGUAAACGUUGGGAACUAGUUGUGGGGUCCAUUCCACGGAUUCCGUGACGCAGCUAACGCAUUAAGUCCCCGCCGGGAGACGGCUCAGCAU